Molecule: non-coding RNA, 75 nt
Organism: Schistosoma curassoni
Lineage: Eukaryota; Metazoa; Platyhelminthes; Trematoda; Strigeidida; Schistosomatidae
Source: Rfam
AGCCUUCCGUAUCCGUGCUGAGAUUUCGUCAAACACCAGACCACAAGGGCUGAUGAAACUUCGACACGCUCAACU